GUGCUUCCUCUUCUCUCCUGGGCUGACUCAAGCACUCGUCCUCAGGGUGGUGAAGACUCCCGGCUCUCAGCUGCCCCCUGCAUCAGACCCAGCAGCUGUCCUCCCACUGUGGCUCCCGCAUCUGCCUCCCUGCCCCAGCCCAUCCUCUCCAACCAAGGCAUCCUCGGAGAUGAGUGAGUGAAGCAGGUCCCAUGAGCGUGUCUGCUGGCCCGGCCCCCACGGAAGAGGGGAGGGUGUGCCGUCCCGAGUGGAGCCGAGGCUCGGGACACGCAGGAAAGGACGCCGCCUGCCCGGGCUCCUGGAGACGCAGAACUUGGUGUGAGGUCUUGGGAAAACAGUUCAACCCGAUGUUUUAAGAGCCAGAAAAACAUUCCCACCCCUUGACCUGGAAUCAUGUUCGUUCAGGAGGAGGCCCUGGCCAGCAGCCUCUCGUCCACCGACAGUCUGACUCCCAUGGACCAGCCCAUUGCCCAGGGAUGCUCUGAUUCCUUGGAGUCCAUCCCUGCAGGACAGGCAGCUUCCGAUGAUUUAAGGGACGUGCCAGGAGCUGUUGGUGGUGCAAG
Molecule: small RNA, 563 nt
Filed under: Pongo abelii (Sumatran orangutan)
Lineage: Eukaryota; Metazoa; Chordata; Mammalia; Primates; Hominidae
Description: retained intron
Source: RNAcentral